RNAcentral lists this ribosomal RNA (758 nucleotides) under uncultured bacterium. Its description in RNAcentral is "bacterial SSU rRNA". It matches the Rfam family "Bacterial small subunit ribosomal RNA", at positions 8 to 796 of the family's 1533-position model. The record is from RNAcentral.
AGAGUUUGAUCAUGGCUCAGAACGAACGCUGGCGGCAUGCUUAACACAUGCAAGUCGAACGCUUUCAUCGGCUUCGGCCGAUGAGGGAGUGGCGGACGGGUGAGUAACGCGUGGGAACCUGCCCUUGAGUGCGGGAUAACCGAGGGAAACUUCGGCUAAUACCGCAUGCGCCCCCUCACGGGGGGAAAGAUUUAUCGCUCGAGGAGGGGCCCGCGUCGGAUUAGCUAGUUGGUGGGGUAACGGCCUACCAAGGCGAUGAUCCGUAGCUGGUCUGAGAGGAUGAUCAGCCACACUGGGACUGAGACACGGCCCAGACUCCUACGGGAGGCAGCAGUAGGGAAUAUUGGACAAUGGGGGCAACCCUGAUCCAGCAAUGCCGCGUGAGUGAUGAAGGCCUUAGGGUUGUAAAGCUCUUUCGCGCGCGACGAUGAUGACGGUAGCGCGAGAAGAAGCCCCGGCUAACUUCGUGCCAGCAGCCGCGGUAAUACGAAGGGGGCGAGCGUUGUUCGGAAUUACUGGGCGUAAAGGGCGCGCAGGCGGCUCUUCAAGUCAGGCGUGAAAGCCCCGGGCUUAACCUGGGAAUUGCGCUUGGGACUGGAGGGCUUGAGUUCGGGAGAGGAGAGUGGAAUUCCCAGUGUAGAGGUGAAAUUCGUAGAUAUUGGGAAGAACACCGGUGGCGAAGGCGGCUCUCUGGACCGAUACUGACGCUGAGGCGCGAAAGCGUGGGGAGCAAACAGGAUUAGAUACCCUAGUAGUCC